Nicotiana tabacum (common tobacco) is the source of this 883-nucleotide non-coding RNA. NCBI's taxonomy places the organism in Eukaryota, Viridiplantae, Streptophyta, Magnoliopsida, Solanales, Solanaceae. The record is from RefSeq and is a predicted model, not a curated record.
CAACACAUUGUAGUGAGUAGAGAGUUAAGAGAGAAAUUCUCUUAAGUGUAAUUGGGAACUCUCCCCUUCCUUUGUUAAUAUUAAAAAGGCAACUGUUCUCUGGUGGACGUAGGAUUAUUUUGAUCUGAACCACGUUAAAUCUUGUGUUCUUUCUUUUACGUUUCCGCUAACAAAGAAUUGGUGUGGUCAGAUCCACAGUCGCAGCAAAUUCAUGGGCAGCUCCAAGAAAUUGUGGAGCAACAACAAUUUGAAGAAAAUUCGAUGAAUGCAGAUGAGAUUUUAGUCAUCGUACUUGGCGAACGAACUGGCUAUGUUGGUGGGAAAGGGUACGGAAAAAGACCUACAAAAAAGAGCCGAGCGCAGCAGGUAGAAUUAGAAGCAAGUACGUCUUCUUCAAUGGAAAGUAUGCGUCAAGAUAUGUAAGCUAAAAUGGACAGAAAAUUACAAGAAGAACGUGAACAAGCUGCUGAGUUGCAAAGAAAGUUGGAAGAACAAAUGGCUGCUGAAUUGUCACGGAAGCUAGAAGAUGAUCGUUUUGAGUUACAAAGAAAGCUAGAAGAAGAUCGUGCUGAGUUGCAAAAAAAAACUAGAAGAGGAGCGCGCACACAUGAAUCUACAACUUGACAAAAGAUUUCAAGAGCAGAUGGCUACGAUGAUGGCUAGAAUUCAAAAGGAACAAAGAACUUCAACAAUGAAGAAAUGAAGUUGCAGAAGAGCAGUUUACAAAUAUUGGAGUAGUUUGAAGUUUUUGGAGUAUUUUAAAGAAAUUUUAUUCUUUUCAUUGAGGACGUGCAAUUACAAUGUUACUUUAGAUUGUUUACAUUUUUACCAAUGAAAAGAUUAUAUACAAUUCUAUUUCGUGAAAUGUAUUGUUACCACUAUA